CAGGACUUGCAUAGGAAUUGCAACACCUGUGGCCUAGACUGCCCCUCAAGUUCACUUAGGGCCCCAGAGCACUCCAGCACACAGUGGCAGGGCUUUUAUCAAGUCAUGCUGGGAUAGAUAAUUCUGUCUGGUUAGGGCCAGUCCAAAUGCUCCCUCUGUGGGCAGAUGUCAGCUGAGUACAGCCCAGUUCUGCUUUCCACUGUGAUGGGGCAGCACUGAGUUCAGUGCAAAACCUCAUAAUCACCACACUCUCCCUCUUCAAAGCACACAGAUUCUCCACACCAUGCAGCCACUUCUGAGGAAUGGGGAACAGGUGGCAUCAGCACUUCAAGACUGUCUUUCUUGCUCUCUUCAAUAAUUCUUUCACUGAUAGAAGUUAAAACCAGGCAGAGGUGGCUGAGCAGUCCUGGUCUCAGAAUUCUCUCACGUUCCUGGUAAUUGACUAUUGGUUGAUCUUGGCUGAGAUGACUCUGGUGACUUGCCGGUUCCCACGUUGUGUGUCCCAUCCUCCAGGAGCCAGACUGGGCAUGUUGUCAUGGUGAUGACAGAAGGCAAGAACAGAAACGUAAAUGGAAACAUGGAGAAAGCCUGCUAUAUCUACUGGAAUAAAAAAGGAAGCAGAGAAAAUGGAAUCUAGACAAAUGGAUAUCCGGAUCCAGCUGGACAAAGCCCUGUGAUGUUAAAGCCACCAGUCUGACUCUGUAGGACACUGUCGCUACCACAUCCCAAAAGGAAAUGUACCCAGCCUGCCUACUUGCCACUCAGCAUCCCUCCCAGGGGAAAGAGCUAUGCCUUAGGGGUGUGAUGUCACAAACAAGUCAACCAUCGUUUAGAGGCAUCAUUUCAAGGUUCCCCCUCUCUGCUUCUCAGCUUACUUUCCCUCUGCUGCUGUCACCUGGCUGUCAGCAUCCAAAUUAGCACAGAGCCCCAACCCAAGCAAGCAUCAACUGGAUUGUCAGCCCAGUGAAUGACCCACCCUGGGGACCUGCUGUUAUACCCUGCCUCAGCUGUCACCUUCCUGUGGCCUUCCUCUUUCCCCGGGCAUGCAGAGCCAUGAAAACAGCAGUAAGCUUCUCCCUGAGAAAGAAAAAGCUGCGUGUAAGGUCAGGUAAACACAGGGCCAGAGAAAGCUCUCCCUUCCCCCAUCCCACAGACACAUCUUAUCCUCGCCCCAAGCUAAGGACCUCUAAAUCCAGCCACAGUAGCAAUGCUGGGAUGGCAGGAAAAUGUUCAGCCUGGAAACCACAACCUCUGCAGCACAGCAGCCAGCACCAGUGAAGGACAUGGAGUUAAAUCGAAAAGGAAUUUGAAUGACAAAGUGACAUUAUGUCUAUCUCCCUAAUGAUGGGACAAGUUGGUCUUCUGUCAUUGGCAAGGCAAAACUGCCAGGACCAGAUGUGUAUUUAAAAGCUAUUUCUCAUGGUUUUAAGUCACCAGGUCAGCUCGAUACCUAAAACAAAGAGAAUGAAUUAUGGAACAGGACGAGGGGAGCUUGUUAAUUUUCCUACUGAUGCACUGUGAAAUGAAAGCUUUAUUCUAAGAAUGGUAUAUCCUCAGGGCUCUCUCUGGAGAGACAAAUUCAAAUGUCCUUACUGUUUUCUUUGUCCCUUACUUUAUGGCUUUUUCUGUACACAUUUACGAAGUAUAUAUAUUUCAUGGUAUGUCUGUGUCUAUAGGACUCAGGGAGUUCAAGUCUGUGAUUCUCUUUAGGGCUUCCUUGACAAUAAGGAGUGCUUAGGUGAUGUUAUUGAUGAAUACACACACACACACACAAUUAGAAUUUGUGGCCAGCCUGUCUGUAUAUAUUAUAGAGACAUCCAUGCAGGCUGCUUGCUAUUGUCUGCACUAGUGAGCUAUAGCCCAUCUCCAAUUGGAACCCAAUGAAAUAAUCAUAACAAUUUUGCCUUCAUGUAUCACCUUUCAUCAGGGAGGAUGAAAGGACUUCACAAACUCUGGGUUCUUCUUUGAUCUAGGCGCCUAUCUGGUACACCGAUCUCCAUUGUGUAUUCUGCCCUCACCCUGCCGAUGGGCCUCCCAUUGACAGUAAUUGAACUUCCAUAUGCAGAGCAGCCAAAAGGCCGGCCUGGCCAGAGAGACUUCUGUCAGCUGCCAGGAGGGAGAGGGCUGCUUCCAGAAGGGACUUGGGUUGCUGUUCUGCAUCUGCAACAGGGGGCAGGGAUUAUAAAUGUGGGGAAAGAGGCAAGUAAUUCUUAAGCUGCAACUUCAGUUUGAGAGAGGGGUGCUUAAUAGGAGAUGGAGGAACAUUCUAGGUAACAUGAUAAAAUAAAUCUCCAGAAUGUGGGUGUUGCCUAAGGCUCUGCUCUUCACUGUCUUCUCUUCCAUAUCGACUUUAGCUAUUAGCUUUAUGGGAAGGACUCCGAAAUAUGUAUCCCAGGCUCAAACUCUCUUGGGUCUAGCCAGGCAUCUCUAGCUGUCUCCUGGGCAUUUCCAUCCACAUAUUUCACUGGAACAUCAAUCACAGCUUCUACCAAAUAUUAUAUAUGAUUCUUCCUCCUCCUUCACUCUCAAAUAGCUCCCUUCCCUGACCUUCCUACUUGUAGUCACUGAUGUUACAGCCACAAGUAAUUUAGCCAAUAUCUGUGUUCUCGUGGAGCUUGCAUUUUAGAGAGGGGUGAGAGAAUCCAAUAAACAAGCAAUAAAUGAAGAAGAGAAAUAGCAGGAAAUGAUAGUUUAGGUGGUGAUGGGUUAGGGGUGUGGACCUCUUUGGACUGAGUGACCAACAUUGGCUUCUCCAGGGAGGAAACUAUUCCAGGUGCAGGGAACAGCAAGCACCAAAGCCCUGAGAGAGCCAAGGCCCCAAACAGAAAAGAUGCUGAGCUGCUGGAGCAUGAUAACAGGAGAGUGGGAGGAGAUGAGGUUAGAGAGGUGGCCAGUGAUUAGAUGAGGUGAGGCUUUGGUGAUGGGAUGCAGAGUUUGGAAUCUAAGCCAAGUGCUGUCCAAAGCCAGGGAGGGUUUCCAGCAGCGGCUUGUGGGAGCUGAUGUCCAUUAGUAGCACCUCUCAGCUGAGACUUUGAGUCACUUUGACUCUUCUCUGUAUCACACACCUCUCUCCAUACAGGCAGUGUCUAAUGUGGAAUGAGAGAAAGGUUUUGGUAACCCUCCAACUCCCUUUGCUUCUCCCCUCCAGGGUCCCGGACAGAGUUUUCUGUGUUCAAAAGAACUAGAAGCCAAACAGAAAAUAAAGCAUCCUUUUUGUGAUCGCUGGGAAAGGACAACAUACCCUUCAGGCUGUAAAUGUGGCUUAGGCUAGCAGACUAAAGCUUAGUUUCCCAAUUUUUCUGAGAAUAUAGAUCUUGGGACCCACCUGCUCAGGCAUGCUUGCUGUUGGAGGGGGUGAGAAUGGGUGGUCUCAUGGAGAGUGGUUGCUACACCCAUCUCCCAGCUGCUGAGAGUGUUGUCUGCUAAGGAAAUCACAGCUGCCCUCCUCAGAGAAUCGCCAUUGGGAGGUUCCCCACCUUCCCACCAGGGGCAGCAUGUAAUCCAUGACUGGCAUAGGGUACAAAAGGCAGGCCCCUUACCUCUAGGUGAGACAAUUCUGUGGUACAGUUCAUACUCCAGAGCUCCCGUGGGAACAGGUCCAAGAAGUGUCCAGCUGAGACCCCAACCUUGCUCAGUCCUCUGCUGCACCUGGCUUACCUUCCCCCCUUCUCCUGAGAGCAUUUUCUCAAGAGACAUGUGCACUUCAUCAUCUUAUCAGGAUCUGCUUCUACGGAAUGCAACCUAAGACAAGUGGAGAUAGAGCCAGGCCUUUUAAGGAGCCCUGACAAAUCUCUACAAAAUUUCCAUUCACUUCUCCCUUUUAAAUUCAUUCAUUUAUUCAACAAAUACAUUGAAACAUGUUUUGUACACUCUGGCACACAAGAAAUCAGGUAGGCACAGCCCAUUCCCUCAUAGAGCUUACAAACCAGGAAGAAAGGCAGACAUCAAACUGGUAAAUGCAUUCAUUUGGGUGCAUCAUGUUGAGAGUAGUCUUCGUCAUUGUAAUGGGACUGUUUGCCUCCAAGUCCCUAUUUCUAAGACGAUGAAGGAACAGGAGUAAGCCCGGACACCAGAGCCUUUCUUCUGCUUUGCGAGCUGCUGAUAUGUAGCUGGGAUCUCUUUGUGUCCCCGCUGGGCUGACACUCACCAGUGAGCCAAGAAGGGAGGGGUGGUUAAAGGCGUGAGGACCCCGAAGGGGACCCCUUGAAAGUGCUCACUCUUCCUUCUACUAAUUAUUUUGUUUUUUUAAAAGCUUGCCCUGUUUAGUCUCUCAGGAGGUUUUCCUGCCCACGGGGGGUAUGGCUGCCUCCCAGGAGAAUCUGGCCAGGAUUUACACCACCCAGCCCACAAAAUCCUGAACAGCUCAGGACCAGCCCAUGCUAUUGUGAGCUGAGAGUCACUCUUCAGUUCUCAUGAUUGCAGGUAAAUAAAUGUUCCAGCCGUCCCGAGCUCUCACAUGAAGACUACCUGCCAAGGAAUUUUUUCCUCUGGGACCCAUGGCCACAUUGCUGGGCUGAGACUUUCUUGCAUUCAUAGAAUUCCCCUGUUACAACGGCCACUAGUCAGCUCCCAUUGCCUUAGUUUCCUGCUUGAAGGAGGUAGAAGAGAACUGCUGGCUGAUGCUUGUUUAAUUCACUGUGAAGGGUGCAGUUUAAGGAAGAUCUCCCUCAAAGGCAGCCACAUUCCGGACUCCUCUAUAAGUGCUUACUAAUGGAAGAGAUAAUUUGGGGUCAGGGCCAGCUUCGUGGGCCCCUGACCUGUGCAGUUUACAUAGGACUCCACACUUAGAAGGGCCCUACUCUUGGUUUAAUGUUCUGUUAUUGCUGUCUUAAAAUUCUUAAUAAUUUCUAAACAAGGGUCCCUACCUUUUCAUCUUACCUUAGGCCCCACAGAUUAUGUAGCUAGUCUGGUUUGGGAUCAUGCAUCAAGACUUGUUCCAGGUUGCCUGCCAAGAGGCAGAGAGAAAGGUAAAACUUCCCUUGGAUCUCUUUCACCCCAGGAUGCUGGUGAAUUCUAAAGGCACAGGGGCAGAUUUCUGCAGUUGAACAGUGUCUCUGGGGAGAGUAUAUUCACAAUACAGAACCAUCAGUCUGUACAGAGCCCAACGUGGUGGACAGUUGCUGACUGUCAGGGGUAGCUGCAGAGGGAGAAUGGAGAUGUAGGAGCAGGAAAAAUCUGCUUGAUUGUGAAUAGAACUAGAUCUGUUUUUUCUUGGUAUGGCAGGUGUUUGGAGCUGAUCAUUUUUCUUAGGGAGCAUCUGGGGGCUCCUUGAAGGUCUCCUGUUGGCCCUUCACUGGGUGUUCCCUUCAUCCUAACAGAUGCUUCUCGCUUCCAGGAGUCAGUUGAGGGCUCUUCCACAGCCCCUAGAGAUCCAGCAUCUCCCCUCAGCUCCUGGGGCCCCUGUUGAGAUGAACCCAAGCAAAUCCCA
Molecule: long non-coding RNA, 5428 nt
Filed under: Homo sapiens (human)
Lineage: Eukaryota; Metazoa; Chordata; Mammalia; Primates; Hominidae
Description: HSALNT0053372
Source: RNAcentral